RNAcentral lists this ribosomal RNA (207 nucleotides) under uncultured bacterium. Its description in RNAcentral is "partial 16S ribosomal RNA". It matches the Rfam family "Bacterial small subunit ribosomal RNA", at positions 568 to 774 of the family's 1533-position model. The record is from RNAcentral.
AGCGUAGACGGCGGAGCAAGUCUGAAGUGAAAGCCCGGGGCUCAACCCCGGGACUGCUUUGGAAACUGUUCUGCUAGAGUGCUGGAGAGGUAAGUGGAAUUCCUAGUGUAGCGGUGAAAUGCGUAGAUAUUAGGAGGAACACCAGUGGCGAAGGCGGCUUACUGGACAGUAACUGACGUUGAGGCUCGAAAGCGUGGGGAGCAAACA